CCUCAGCCCAGCUGCCGUUGGUGAUCUUGUACUGCGCCUUGACCUCAGCGAUGAUGCUGUCCGUGUUCCGGGAGCAGUUGUUCUCCAUGGACAGCACCACAGCCAUGGCCGAGAUCUGGGACUGCAGCUCCCGGA
RNAcentral lists this microRNA precursor (135 nucleotides) under Chlorocebus sabaeus (green monkey). Its description in RNAcentral is "miRNA (ENSCSAG00000019904.1)". The record is from RNAcentral. Lineage: Eukaryota; Metazoa; Chordata; Mammalia; Primates; Cercopithecidae.